This 460-nucleotide ribosomal RNA is filed under the name Metabacillus litoralis. Its description in RNAcentral is "bacterial SSU rRNA". It matches the Rfam family "Bacterial small subunit ribosomal RNA", at positions 68 to 511 of the family's 1533-position model. Lineage: Bacteria; Bacillati; Bacillota; Bacilli; Caryophanales; Bacillaceae. The record is from RNAcentral.
GAAUUGAUGGGAGCUUGCUCCCUGAUAUUAGCGGCGGACGGGUGAGUAACACGUGGGUAACCUGCCUGUAAGAUUGGGAUAACUCCGGGAAACCGGAGCUAAUACCGGAUAAUAUUUUGAACCGCAUGGUUCGAAAUUGAAAGAUGGUUUCGGCUAUCACUUACAGAUGGACCCGCGGCGCAUUAGCUAGUUGGUGAGGUAACGGCUCACCAAGGCAACGAUGCGUAGCCGACCUGAGAGGGUGAUCGGCCACACUGGGACUGAGACACGGCCCAGACUCCUACGGGAGGCAGCAGUAGGGAAUCUUCCGCAAUGGACGAAAGUCUGACGGAGCAACGCCGCGUGAACGAUGAAGGCCUUCGGGUCGUAAAGUUCUGUUGUUAGGGAAGAACAAGUACCAGAGUAACUGCUGGUACCUUGACGGUACCUAACCAGAAAGCCACGGCUAACUACGUGCCAC